RNAcentral lists this long non-coding RNA (667 nucleotides) under Capra hircus (goat). Its description in RNAcentral is "lncRNA (ENSCHIG00000007048.1)". Lineage: Eukaryota; Metazoa; Chordata; Mammalia; Artiodactyla; Bovidae. The record is from RNAcentral.
CAUGUGAAUCAGGCAUGUUUACGCAUGCUUUUUGAGACUGGGCUCUUUUCAAUUCAUAGAGUGAAAAAAAAACCUGAAGGUUGCACAGUCGUGUAAGAAUCAAUUUCCCUUGUAGCAGGCUAUUUUCCUCUUCUGCUUCAGAGUGUGGCACUGCACCCUGAGGAGCCCUCAUGUGGACAGUCUAGCGAAGAAGAGAGCAAGAUGGCUCAAAUGCUCCUUCUGCGUAAAAUCAACUAGGGAACUUAACAUCAUUGAUACCAGUCUCUCUCAAUGAUGUUUUCUUGAAAGUACUUUUUAUCAGGUCUGGUGACUGAACAGGGAAACAAGGAGACCUUUGAUGGCCCUCAGCGGCAACGAGCAACAGCAGCGAAGGUGCCUGAGGAAUCCCUUGAGUCGCUGCUUCCUCACUGCCUCUGGAGGUGGUGGGUAAGUUUCCUCCAAUCCUCCAUCCAUGAUUGUGUGUUAGGAGUGUUCACUGUUUUGAGCAUUUUUGCAUUUUGAGCAUUUUUUUUUCCUGUGGCCUGGAUCCCCAAACUGGCCUGAGUUGGGUGCCGUGGGACAUAGAGAUAGGACUGUUUCUAGUGACAAGCCUGGUCCGACCCCUAAACCAGACCCGGUGGAGGAUCAGGCCGGGUCCAAUUUACGCUGGAUUGGGUCCAGAAUAAGG